RNAcentral lists this ribosomal RNA (897 nucleotides) under uncultured archaeon. Its description in RNAcentral is "bacterial SSU rRNA". It matches the Rfam family "Archaeal small subunit ribosomal RNA", at positions 19 to 922 of the family's 1478-position model. The record is from RNAcentral.
AGACCUGACUGCUAUCGGAUUGAUACUAAGCCAUGCGAGUCAUUGUAGCAAUACAAGGCAUACGGCUCAGCAACGCGUAGUCAACCUAACCUAUGGACGGGAAUAACCUCGGGAAACUGAGAAUAAUGCCCGAUAGAACAUUAUACCUGGAAUGGUUUAUGUUCCAAAUGAUUUAUCGCCGUAGGAUGGGACUGCGGCCUAUCAGUUUGUUGGUGAGGUAAUGGCCCACCAAGACUAUUACAGGUACGGGCUCUGAGAGGAGUAGCCCGGAGAUGGGUACUGAGACACGGACCCAGGCCCUAUGGGGCGCAGCAGGCGAGAAAACUUUGCAAUGUGCGAAAGCACGACAAGGUUAAUCCGAGUGAUUUCUGCUAAAGAAAUCUUUUGUUAGUCCUAGAAACACUAACGAAUAAGGGGUGGGCAAGUUCUGGUGUCAGCCGCCGCGGUAAAACCAGCACCUCAAGUGGUCAGGAUGAUUAUUGGGCCUAAAGCAUCCGUAGCCGGCUCUGUAAGUUUUCGGUUAAAUCUGUACGCUUAACGUACAGGCCGCCGGGAAUACUGCAAAGCUAGGGAGUGGGAGAAGUAGACGGUACUCGGUAGGAAGUGGUAAAAUGCUUUGAUCUAUCGAUGACCACCUGUGGCGAAGGCGGUCUACUAGAACACGUCCGACGGUGAGGGAUGAAAGCUGGGGGAGCAAACCGGAUUAGAUACCCGGGUAGUCCCAGCUGUAAACUAUGCAAACUCAGUGAUGCAUUGGCUUGUGGCCAAUGCAGUGCUGCAGGGAAGCCGUUAAGUUUGCCGCCUGGGAAGUACGUACGCAAGUAUGAAACUUAAAGGAAUUGGCGGGGGAGCACCACAAGGGGUGAAGCCUGCGGUUCAAUUGGAUUCAACGCCGGG